AGCUACUCCGUGCCAGCAGCCGCGGUAAUACGUAGGGUGCAAGCAUUGUCCGGAUUUAUUGGGCGUAAAGAGCUCGUAGGCGGCUUAACAAGUCGGUCGUGAAAUACCGAGGCUCAACCUCGGGGAGUCGGUCGAAACUGUUAUAGCUAGAGUACGGUAGAGGAGAGUGGAAUUCCCGGUGUAGCGGUGGAAUGCGCAGAUAUCGGGAGGAACACCAGUAGCGAAGGCGGCUCUCUGGGCCGUUACUGACGCUGAGGAGCGAAAGCGUGGGGAGCAAACAGGAUUAGAUACCCUGGUAGUCCACGCUGUAAACGUUGGGAACUAGGUGUUGCGGG
This 335-nucleotide ribosomal RNA is filed under the name uncultured bacterium. RNAcentral's name for it is "bacterial SSU rRNA". It matches the Rfam family "Bacterial small subunit ribosomal RNA", at positions 495 to 829 of the family's 1533-position model. The record is from RNAcentral.